CAUUUCUUCAAAGAAAAUAACACAAAACCAUUCACUCCUAAACCAAAAAACCCUAGUAAUUUAUUUCACACGCUUUAGCGAAAUCGACGAUAUCUCUCAACAGCGACACUUCUUUAGCGACAACGACCACUCGCUCUGCCGGAGCAGGGAUCGUGGACGGUAAAGGUUAAUAAAACUUUCUAAUAACUUCUAUUUUUAGUUUUUGGGUCAAAAUUGAUUCACGAUUUCUGGCAUUUUUAUUCGUUGUCCACAAGUUUAUGAAAGGAUGAAGGUGAACAAGAAAGAAGCACAAAACCAACCUCCGAAAAAUGCCGCUCAAUCUGGUUGGCGAACUUUGAAGAACAAUUGACAGGGAAUCAUUGAUGGCAAAGGCGAAAACCUAAGCAAAUAUGAAUGGUCCUGAAAAAGCACAAUCGGAAAUGAAAUGGCAACACCAAAAAUUGGAAAGGAAUCUACUAAGGCUCCCACAAUUGAUGGAUCCAAUGUUUUAAAAGAUGGAAGUCAACAUGGGUGAGAGAAGGCCAUUGGAAUUGUCGACUAUCGACUAGAUAUAAGGGUGUGCUUCAGUAUUUAAGAGCUAAAAAGUAUUGUGUUGAAGUUCGCCGAAAAUAAUCACAACUCCCUUUCCAAUAAAACAUCGACAUCCAAACAUUAUGCAACAGACAACAAGAAAAUGAUGAUCGACGUUGAAAAGAUGAUAGCAAGCUACAGAGCUUUUG
This is a long non-coding RNA of Salvia splendens (bonfire salvia), 719 nucleotides long. RefSeq lists it as uncharacterized. The record is from RefSeq and is a predicted model, not a curated record. Lineage: Eukaryota; Viridiplantae; Streptophyta; Magnoliopsida; Lamiales; Lamiaceae. The transcript is spliced from 4 exons.